AUACAUUACCAUAACUAUAGCAAUUGUUAUUAUGCAAAAACUAAUGAAGAAAUCAUGUUAAGAAUGCAAAAGGGCAUAAAUACCUGGAACAGGGGCGGCGAAAAAGCUUGGUGCGAAAUAGGAGAAUGGCAGCGGAGAGCAAUGACAAGCGUUUCAAACGAUUUUGAUCGGCUCAAACUGUUUCUUAUCGUCAAAAAUGUGAAAUGAUCGAUUUUGAGUUUAAACGGUGAAGAAACGAGGGAACUGAGAGGGGUGAUCGCGGCGGGAGAAGAAAGUCGAAGAAGCAGCGUCUGCGCGAAGAAGACGAUACUGUUCCAAAAUUUUANUUUUUAACUGUGAUAGGGGAAUCUACCGCGGUUAAGUACUUAACCGCGGUNUAUUAUGGUUAUAUGNCGCGGUUUCACAGCAAACUGCGGCCUAUAGUCAUUAAAAAAAUAACCUAAAUGGCAUUUUUGAAAAUUAUUUUUGCACUAUAUACCGCGGUUGCCCGCUGAACCGCGGUAUAUUCCUCGAAAUAUUUCAANUUAUUUUUAAAUUUUUUUCAGGUGGGA
Molecule: long non-coding RNA, 551 nt
Filed under: Vigna radiata
Lineage: Eukaryota; Viridiplantae; Streptophyta; Magnoliopsida; Fabales; Fabaceae
Description: long non-coding RNA (VRAD_LNC004932)
Source: RNAcentral